This 322-nucleotide ribosomal RNA is filed under the name uncultured bacterium. RNAcentral's name for it is "partial 16S ribosomal RNA". It matches the Rfam family "Bacterial small subunit ribosomal RNA", at positions 355 to 693 of the family's 1533-position model. The record is from RNAcentral.
UGGGGAAUAUUGGACAAUGGGGGCAACCCUGAUCCAGCAAUGCCGCGUGUGUGAAGAAGGUCUUCGGAUUGUAAAGCACUUUCGACGGGGACGAUGAUGACGGUACCCGUAGAAGAAGCCCCGGCUAACUUCGUGCCAGCAGCCACGGUAAUACGAAGGGGGCUAGCGUUGCUCGGAAUGACUGGGCGUAAAGGGCGUGUAGGCGGUUUACACAGUCAGAUGUGAAAUCCCCGGGCUUAACCUGGGAGCUGCAUUUGAUACGUGUAGACUAGAGUGUGAGAGAGGGUUUGUGGAAUUCCCAGUGUAGAGGUGAAAUUCGUAG